CCUACGGGUGGCAGCAGUGGGGGAUAUUGCACAAUGGGGGAAACCCUGAUGCAGCAACGCCGCGUGGGCGAAGAAGCGCCUCGGCGCGUAAAGCCCUGUCAGCAGGGAAGAAAAUGACGGUACCUGAGGAGGAAGCCCCGGCUAACUACGUGCCAGCAGCCGCGGUAAUACGUAGGGGGCAAGCGUUAUCCGGAUUUACUGGGGGUAAAGGGGGCGUAGACGGGUUUUUAAGCCAGGAGGGAAAGCCCGGGGCCCAACCCCGGGAAAGCUUUUGAAACUGCGUGGCUUGAGUGCAGGAGGGGAGGGUGGAAUUCCUGGUGUAGCGGUGAAAUGCGUAGAUAUCAGGAGGAACACCGGUGGCGAAGGCGGCCCGCUGGACUGCAACUGACGUUGAGGCACGAAAGCGUGGGGAGCAAACAGGAUUAGAUACCCGUGUAAUC
RNAcentral lists this ribosomal RNA (440 nucleotides) under uncultured bacterium. RNAcentral's name for it is "partial 16S ribosomal RNA". It matches the Rfam family "Bacterial small subunit ribosomal RNA", at positions 338 to 795 of the family's 1533-position model. The record is from RNAcentral.